This 69-nucleotide transfer RNA is filed under the name Cavia porcellus (domestic guinea pig). It matches the Rfam family "tRNA". Rfam says of the family: Transfer RNA (tRNA) molecules are approximately 80 nucleotides in length. Lineage: Eukaryota; Metazoa; Chordata; Mammalia; Rodentia; Caviidae. The record is from Rfam by way of RNAcentral.
GGGCAUAUAGCUUAGUGGUAAAGCACUUGCUUAGCAUUCAUGAGGUCCUGGGUUUUGUCCCCAGUACCA